GCAAGUCGAACGGAAAUAUCGGAGCUUGCUCUGAAUAUUUAGUGGCGGACGGGUGAGUAACACGUGAGCAACCUGCCUUUGAGAGUGGAAUAGCUUCUGGAAACGGAUGGUAAUACCGCAUAACGUUGCGAAACCGCAUGAUUUUGCAACCAAAGAUUUAUCGCUCAAAGAUGGGCUCGCGUCUGAUUAGAUAGUUGGUGGGGUAACGGCCUACCAAGUCGACGAUCAGUAGCCGGACUGAGAGGUUGAACGGCCACAUUGGGACUGAGACACGGCCCAGACUCCUACGGGAGGCAGCAGUGGGGAAUAUUGCACAAUGGGCGGAAGCCUGAUGCAAGCGAUGCCGCGUGGAGGAAGAAGGUUUUCGGAUUGUAAACUCCUGAUCUGAGGGACGAUAGUGACGGUACCUCAGGAGAAAGCUCCGGCUAACUACGUGCCAGCCGCUGC
This 447-nucleotide ribosomal RNA is filed under the name uncultured bacterium. RNAcentral's name for it is "bacterial SSU rRNA". It matches the Rfam family "Bacterial small subunit ribosomal RNA", at positions 57 to 518 of the family's 1533-position model. The record is from RNAcentral.